Molecule: long non-coding RNA, 2746 nt
Filed under: Citrus x clementina
Lineage: Eukaryota; Viridiplantae; Streptophyta; Magnoliopsida; Sapindales; Rutaceae
Description: Citrus clementina (C. clementina) long non-coding RNA (CCLE_LNC001126)
Source: RNAcentral
UUUUUGAAAUCCAAUUUAAAUCUUCCAAAAGUAAUUCCAAACCACCCUAAGUGAAAUGGGCGUAGAUUUUUUUUUUUUUUAAUUAAAAACAAACGUUACCAUGUUCGGGCUUAUCUUCUUAUCAUCUGGGCUCAACUUGGAGGACUAGUCCACUCAGAUUUAGACUCCUCAAUCAUCAAUCACGUGCCCUUUUGCUUUCUGAAAUAUUCACUUAUUAAGUAAUUGAAUAUAAUUCGGAUUAAUUCCCUAAAUUUAUAUAAAAAUUCAAAAUAGCAUGGAUGUAAUUGCAAGUUAACUGAGAACGUUAGCAACGAAUUGAUGGUUUCCAUUGAAUAUUUUUUUAAAAAAAAAAAUUAUGAUACCGCCAUCAAUCAUCAUAUAUAUUAAGUUUUUAAUUUGGAAAAUAAGAACAUGAAGGUCAUGUGGUACAAGAUCGUUCCAUUACCUGAAAGUUAAGAUGGAAAGAAACAAGGCAUUCGUUGGCCAUGUGAAGCUGCAGCCAUAUAAAUACGCCAAUUUAUUAAAUGCAGCUUACCAAUAUGGACCAAUCUAAACAUAGGGGAAUCACUUGCCCUAAGUUUUAUUAAAUCUAUACGGGCAGCCAAGCUAGACGUUUCCAAGCAAGGAUUAAAGAAAGCCCAGGCCCAGGCAUGCCUUAGGUCCCUUUUAUUUAUUAAUUGUCUUCCUAAAAAUUUUAAAAAAAAGAACAAAAAAUCUUAUUUAGUUUUGAAUGUUUAACUACUUGUUAGUUGGGAAAACCAAAAUCCAAUCAUCAGAUGGUAAACCAAUUUCCUUGCUGCAUAUAUUGGCAAAGUUUUGAGUUCCCAAAUAUAUAUCCAGAUUGCAAAAUUAUAAAAUUGAUAUCUGAGGAAUUGAACUAUUAAUAGAUCUUUUAAUUAUAAAAAUUUCGGUAGAAUUGAAAUACAUCGUUUUUAAAAAAAAAUAUUGAGCGUUUUUGCUUCAUUGGUGGUAUUUUGCUUUCAAAUAAGGCCUCCAUAUAUAAUAGAUAUUGAAGAAUUCACCAUUGAUACGGCAGAUAUUCCCUUAAUAAAAGAAAACAAAAUUUUUAUUUAUUUAUGCCGUGAUCCAUACUUUUCAUACUCUUUGUUCGAUUGUCUCCAUAAUUGCAGGAGACAAUGGCUACGGUAGAGCUGUUCUAUUAUGGAGUACAAAUGAUAACCGUCAGAUCAUAUCAGUAAAUAUAAAUUUAUUAUUUAUUUUUAUAACCGUACGGUUAUGAUCAGUGCUCCACCGUGAAGCAGUUUCAAUAUAAUCGGACCCUUAAUUAAUUAAUUAAACAUGCAUGUUUAUAUCAUCAGCAUAACUCACGAGAGACGCAUGAUUCAAGAUUCAACAACCCUAGCUUGGCUGGCUCGUCCUUAUCCCUCCUCAAUCAUGAUUUCGUGGCUAUGCUGAUAUAAAUACGAAAAUAAAAUAGGUAAGAAUUGCAGCCCGCAGUAAAUUUAUUUUAUGCAGUUUUAAUUAGGGUUUUGUUGGAGCCACAAUAAAUACUUGUUCAAUUCAGUCACAUAAAAUUAAUGCAUGCAUGUAUAUAGAAGGUUUUUCAUGCUGACGUGACCAACUCCCCGCUUGCUUACGUCAACAAAACUUUAGCAGCCAAGCCCUAAAGGGAUUUGAGAACUGCACGUAGGUCUCUUUUUGGUUUUUGUUUUAUUUUUUGAGACGCUCUUUUUGGUUCAUUAUUAUUAUUAUUAUUUUGGGUUUAAGGGAGUAAAAAAUAAUGAUUACUUCAUUAGAUUUGAUAAACGAUCAAUCCCACCUAGUGUUUGCGAAAUUAACAAUUUUCCCUUAUAUGUUAAAACCACCAAAAUUUCCUCGACAUUAACAAUAUUAUAUAUAUAUAUAUAUUUGGCUUCAAAUUUAGUGUUAAAGUUCAUUAGACUUUCAACUAUUAGAUUUAUCUAUUAAAAAAAAAAUGAAGUGCCGUUCAAAAAGUGCAUUGAACUAUUUAACGUUGUAAAGUUUAAGGAGUUCUUAUGGAUUUUGAAACAUAGCUGUCAAUACUUAUGGUUAAUUAAGAAGAUAAAUUUCAGACAACUUUCAAUUCUUUAGCUAAUUUGAAAAUACGAGUUAAGUUCAUGAGCUUGUAUUUUUUUUUUUAAAGAUAAUUUCUCUAAUAAAAUUUCCUUAGUCAAAUUCAACUGGCUCAGUUGUAAGAGACUAAUUGUCAAUCAAGCCCGAUACCUAUCAUCAUUAUAUUGUCAUGCACCACCUAUAAAUAAUUCUUAUGAUUUUACCUCACGUGUUUAUUGAAAAUAAGAGUAGAAUUCCACUCUUGAUGAAGUAAUAUUUCAUUUUUUUAAUCUUGAUUUAGGGUGUGUUUAUUUCUUGAAUUGAGAAUCAAAAUCAUAAAUAAUGUAUACUUCACAAAAUAAGAAUCCGCAAAUAUUGGAAUCAUUCCCAUAUAUUUGAUUUGUAAGGAGGAGGGGAUUGGGAAUCAGACUCCAAUAUUUAGAACUAUCCAUUUUGCUCCCAUUAAAUUUUCAUGAACCCCAAAUUACCCUCAAUUAUGUUCUGUCAUUUUACAUUGUGGUCCCUACAUGAUUAAUGAAAAAUACCAAAGAAUUUUGCAUUAUUUUCAAAUAGGUCCUUUAUUACUACUACCACUGCUAUUAUUUAUGUCAUUAUUAUUAUAUUAACGUUAUUGUUAUUAAAAUUUAAAAUGUUGCCAUCAUCAUCAUCAUCAUCAUCAUCAUUAAUUAUCAUUAUCAUCAUCAUAUAUAUU